AAGUCGUAACAAGGUUUCCGUAGGUGAACCUGCGGAAGGAUCAUUAACACGUAUCCAACGUUAAACCCCCCGUGCACACAGAGACCAGCUCCCCUCAAUUUCGGUCUUUUGGCAAUCUCUGGUAAAUCAUCGCCGAACAGUUUUGAUUCAGAGACAUCCAAAGGGCCGGGGUAGGGUAUUGAAGUAGUUGUCCCAUGCAAGCAGCCUGGUUUCUUGGAAGCAGAAAGUGUGAUAGAAGAUGUCGGAGAACGAAGAUGACUUCUGUCGCGCGCUGUGAAAAAGAAGACGCUUUACGAAUCACUGACCAACACGGCCAGUGACCGGGUUCCUGGGUCCUAGACCCCCUGAUCACCCCGACAGUCGCAGACGCGGGUAGGGAUACGUCCUUACCAAAAAAUAAAUACUUGAACAACUGUUAGCAAUGGAUAUCUUGGUUCUC
RNAcentral lists this unclassified non-coding RNA (439 nucleotides) under fungal sp. RNAcentral describes it as "partial internal transcribed spacer region". The stretch from base 1 to 46 matches the Rfam family "Eukaryotic small subunit ribosomal RNA", at positions 1786 to 1831 of the family's 1831-position model. Lineage: Eukaryota; Fungi. The record is from RNAcentral.